Molecule: long non-coding RNA, 3839 nt
Organism: Cyprinus carpio carpio
Lineage: Eukaryota; Metazoa; Chordata; Actinopteri; Cypriniformes; Cyprinidae
Source: Ensembl
AUUUAAAUGGAUAUUUUAAUAACUAAGCUACAGAGGUGGACAAAGUACACAACUUCCUUACUUGAGUAAAAGUACAGAUACUACUGGUCAAAUAUUACUCCAUUACAAGUAAAAGUUGUAAGGACCGAUUUGUCCUUAAGUUAAAGUAUAGAAGUCUCCUUGUGUUUUUUUCCAUGUAGGAAAAUGGUGAAAACUAAUAUGAUUCACGAGGCGUUUGCCCUGUCGAUCAUGAGACCGAUUACAGCAGUUCACAAUACAGCAAUACUGAACCAUUUUUCAAGAAAUAACCAAAAUUAAUGACCAAAUGACCAAUGUUACCUACUGCCUACUAUACGGUACUAUACAGUACAUCUACUUCCGUACCACGAUUCCCACAAUGCAUUGCGACGUGACGUAACGAUCCCGACCUCUAUAUGAGCGUGAGUAAGCUCAGACAGUUGGAAGCUCCAUAAUGAAAGCGCCCUUUGCUUGGUUUUUACGUCAUUCGCAGUUUGAAGAAAAGUUUAAAAGUUCCGUCCACGUAUACUGUUUCAGGAAUGACAAACGCAACUGUAAAAAAUUAUGAAUGAAUCCGCCAAAUUGAUCCGCGACUGAGUGUUAACUGUAGCAAUGGACGGGACGAACUAUCUGACAAGCUGAUGUCAAAACAGAGCUGUGCUUUAAGUGAUGCAAAGUAAAUUCAGAGUAACAAAACUACAGCAGCAACAAGUCUGUGUUGCCUUUAGCAGCUUCUACAGUGAUAUGACGGAGGGCCAGGGACCCCUGCAUGACUCUCUUAUCUCCUCUCUCCAGCUGCAUCCUGGUGGGGAGAGGCAUUCUGGGAGAAGGAUCCUGUUUGGGCUGAACCUGGGGAGGGAGCUUAUUGCUCAAAUGGGAGACCUGGAAAUGAACAUGUUCAAAGUCCAACAUCUCAGACUGAAAGAAAGGCUGGAUACUUUUAGUUGGGGUCGUGCUGCGAUUUGUGCAGGAAUUUGACUGUAGAUUGUUGUGAGCAAAGGUCAACCAUUUCCAGAGCCUAUUUUUGGAUGGCUAUGAAAUGAAAUGAGAAAUUGGCCUUUUCAUGGAGAUAUGUUGUAAUUAGAAAGAAAGAAAGAAAGAAAGAAAGAAAGAAAGAAAGAAAGAAAGAAAGAAAGAAAGAAAGAAAAGAAAAUGUAAAUUAGCAACAAUAGCAGUUUAUUAAUAAAAAAUAAAUAAUAGGCCCUACAUCUUCUUCAUCAGUUUUAUUUUAAAAUCCAUGAACCCAAAAUGUAAAUUCUGUCAUCAUUUACUUACUCUCAUGUUAUUCCAAACAUAGAUUACUUUCUCUCUUCUGAAGAUAUUUUGCAAAAUGUUUUUGUUGUUGUUGUUGUUGUUGUUUUCUUUUUUGUAAUUCUUAAAAAAUACCACUUUAAAACUAUUUUAUAAACAAUAUUUCUACAACAUAGGGUAUAUAUGAUUCAGUGGUGGCUGUUGAUUUUCAGAAGAUAGGAAGCAAUUAUUAAGUCGAAAUGUAUUCAUUCAUUCAUUCAUUCAUUCAUUCAUACAUUAAUUCAUUUGAAACAAAUAAUGCAGCCUUUGUGAGCAUAAUAGCCCUUUUUUUUUUUUUUUUUAGAAAUAUUCAAAUGCUGACCCCUGGUAAAAUAUAUUGCAUCGCUUCUGUCUUGAAACUGUAAUGUUAUCAUGUGAGUUGCCUUGAAUUCAUAUAUCAGGAAUUAGCUUAUACUUCACGUGCCUUUUUAGCAACAUCAGAAGCUUUCUCUGUCACAUUUCAUUUUUAUUUGUCUUUUAUUCCUCCACACAUGCAAUUACUACUGUCAAUUUCCAUUUAAGAUCAGCACUUUUCAAAUGAAGCAUUUUCUUCCAAAAGAAAAUAAAAAAUGAAAUGAUAAUUAAAUUCUGGCAGUGGUGCAGGCAUUGAAACAAAGGAUGCCCCUUCCCCAACAAACAGUUUUUCAAAGGCCCACCAAGAACAGAGAAAAAGUUAGCCUACCUAUUCAAAGAGGGGCUGAUGUUUUGAUGUUUUGUUCUUGUCACAAUGGCAAACAUCUCUAGGAACAUCAGAGAAGCAGUGCAUGUUUGCAACCCCCCUGAAAAAAUGAUAGAGGAACACUGUGUGAUAAUGAUUAGGAAAGGAUUGACAGAAACACUGCUAUGCUUUGUAUGCUUCGAUUCAAGAAAAUAUAAGGGAGAAAAACUCUUUGCUUUUACACCCUUCAUACACAGUCCCACACACAUAUACAGCUCUCUGGCCUUUGCCUUUAUUAAUGGGCCACGUGCAGUUACGGGCCAGUAGUGUGGGAAGCAAUUUAUGACAAAAAUAUAUAUAUAUAUAUAUAUAUAUAUAUAUAUAUAUACACACACACACACACACAUAUAUAUAUAGGGAGAGGCUAUAAAAUGGUGCAUGGAGAUUUCACAUUGAUUUCACAUGUUUGCCUGCUUGUUAUAAUCCUUAAAGGUAAACAUUAUUAUACUUAUUAUUAUGCUUCUAUGCAACUUGAAUCUGAAUUCAAACUCUAAAUGCAACCGUAAAUACUAAAUAAUUAAGUUGAAUCCGGUUACCACUUCUGUGUUGCUGUCAAAUUUAGCCCCUAUUGAUUUCCAUGCAAUUCGCUGAAUGUUUUUUUACUAAAGAAAAAAAAAAAAAAAAAUCUAUUGUAGCUUGUCAGGGACUAAAAAUAUAAAAUAUGAGAAAUUAUGAACAUUUAUGAAGAGUUACACUCUUUGUUUUAGUGGUCAAUUUGACCUGCAUAUUGUUUACUUUAAAAUUAACUACACAGACACAAAAUAAAAACCUUUCCUUGUUUCCACUUAUAUGCAAAUAACUGCAACUAAGAAUAAAUCUAACAUCAUCUAACAUUAUUUGUGUGGUAUAUAUUGCUGUAUGCACUGCCUUUUUGUUAUGUCUGGUUCUGAAAUCCUUGUGAGGGUAAAAUGUGUUUCAAAUUCUAACAAUUAUUUUUAGUGCAGCAACAGACUAGUAGUUGCGAUGCACUAAAAUAAAUAAAUAAAUAAAUAAAUAAAAUCAAAAACAUAUUUUCACAGACAUUUAUUUUUCCUGGGGUGUUUCAAAAGACGAGUCUCAAUUUCAAGUAAUCUUAACUUCAUAAGUUCUCAUGCAUUUCACUUACAGGCUACGAUUAAGUUUUUAAGUUUGAACAGCAUUUCCAAAACACAUCUACACAUCUAAGUGUAAAUAAGUAACAGGUUAAGGUGUUUUUUUUUUUUUAUUCAUUUACUAAUUUAUUUAUUUACUAAAACUCCUCUUCAUUACACAAUGCAUUUCUAUUCUUCCACUUCUCCUACUCUUUCUUUCCUUUUUAUGACAGUGAGCAUUAACACCCCCAUGUAAUUAGGGGUCCAAUUAAAAGGAUGUUUUUUUUUUUGUUUUUUUUUUGGCAAUUACACUGGAAAGACACUGUUGAUGGCAGAGAUAAUGAUCUUGAUUAUUCAUGAUAUAGGCCUAUCAUUCAGGACAUACUGAGCAGGAACUGAAAUCCUUUGCUGCGGGGCAUUCCUGCUUCAAUGCAAGUGGAGGUAAUUGUAAUAAAGCAGAUGUUUAAAAAGUAUUAUUUUUUAUAUAAGGCAUAUUAUAAUAAGGUGCCGAUUAUCUGUGCAUUAGCCCAGAUUGAAUUCAUAUCCUUUAACACUCCUUAAAAAACAUUUGGUGUAAUUGGCAUCUUCACUGAAUAAAUGUGGCUCCCUGCAUGUGUUUUAAAAGCUUGUGUCUUUUAUUGUCUCCUUCCUCUAAAGGAUCCAUAUUUAGAGUAUCAUAGAAUUUCACAGUAAAAUAAAUAAAUAAAUAAAUGACAUUUAUUUUUUAAAAGGAAUUAUAAGAAUAGUUAAAGAUCUAAUUCUCC